AUAGCCUGUAAGCUAGCAUUCCAGCAAUACAUACAGACAUCAAAGUAUUCCAGAUGGAUAUUAAAUUUGAUUUAACCGCCUUCCAAGAUUCUCUCGCAAAAGAUGUGAAAAUGGAACUAAGUAACUUUAAAUAAGAAGUCAAUUAAAAACCGGAUGGCCUGAUCACGGACCUAAACGCAACAGCAGAAAAGGUCAACGAAGUGAGGAAGCGAGUUGGAGAAUUGGAGAACGUUGCUUAGAUAAAAGAAAUUCUUGGUCAAACCAUACAAAUUAAGACAUGAAGAAAACUAUUAAGAGAAACUGUUAUAUCUAGAAGCACGCUCCCGUAGAAAUAAUAUUCAGAUUUUUUGAAUCCCGGAAGGAAGCAAAGGGAAUAAUAUCCAAGAUCCAAGUGGAAAUGUUUAUCAAAACGAACUGUCACUUGACGAAAUAGAUCUUAAAAUCCGACAAUGUCAACAGAGGCAUCAAGAGAUCUGAAAGAAAAAGGACUAAUAAACAGCAAAGAAGAAACUAUUAUAGGAAUCGUUCGAGAGAAACAAAGAUCUUGGCAAAGUUUGGAGUGACAUCAAAGAAAAGAAUUUGAAAUUGAAUUUUAAAGAGACAACACUAGCUCCAUUUGAAAGAAGGGUAAAACCUGACAGAUCCUAACAAAGAACUCUGAGAGACUGGUAAAACUUCUUGACUUGAUUCAAAGAUAAUCGACAUUUAAAUCGUUUGAAGGAAGAAUAGUAUUUAACCGAACUGACCAACGACACAAGAUGAACGAUUAAAGCACACCAAGACUCGAGUCAUUGAGUAACAUACUGGUAGGAAGACAUAAAGGGAUUCUAUUUUAUACAUUUAAAAUUCCUUGCUAUAAAUAGAAAUAUUUCACUUGAAAACCUAACCAAAAAUACAAGAAUAUAGUACUGCCAGAUAUGGGUGCUGAAUAUAUUUGUUAACAUUUUUUGUGCAA
Molecule: non-coding RNA, 955 nt
Organism: Danio rerio (zebrafish)
Lineage: Eukaryota; Metazoa; Chordata; Actinopteri; Cypriniformes; Danionidae
Source: Ensembl